Molecule: ribosomal RNA, 520 nt
Filed under: uncultured Glomus
Lineage: Eukaryota; Fungi; Glomeromycota; Glomeromycetes; Glomerales; Glomeraceae
Description: SSU rRNA
Rfam family: Eukaryotic small subunit ribosomal RNA
Source: RNAcentral
AGCAGCCGCGGUAAUUCCAGCUCCAAUAGCGUAUAUUAAAGUUGUUGCAGUUAAAAGCUCGUAGUUGAAUUUCGGGGUUAGUAGGUUGGUCGUGCCACUGGUACGUACUGGUCUCACUGAUUCCUCCUUCCUGAUGAACUGUAAUGCCAUUAAUUUGGUGUUGCAGGGAAACUGGACUGUUACUUUGAAAAAAUUAGAGUGUUUAAAGCAAGCUAACGCUUGAAUACAUUAGCAUGGAAUAAUGAAAUAGGACGUUCGAUCCUAUUUUGUUGGUUUCUAGGAUUGACGUAAUGAUUAAUAGGGAUAGUUGGGGGCAUUAGUAUUCAAUUGUCAGAGGUGAAAUUCUUGGAUUUAUUGAAGACUAACUACUGCGAAAGCAUUUGCCAAGGAUGUUUUCAUUAAUCAAGAACGAAAGUUAGGGGAUCGAAGACGAUCAGAUACCGUCGUAGUCUUAACCAUAAACUAUGCCGACUAGGGAUCGGAUGAUGUUAAUUUUUUUAAUGACUCAUUCGGCGCCUUA